AACACGAACCUGAUUAACCCAGCUUUGGAGUUUCGAACUAAAGCAAUCGUUCUCCUUUGGAGUUAUGAUGUAAAGCAAUUCAGUGGACAAGAGAGGCUGCAAAUCUGCCACAAUGCCGAGAAAGAGCCCAAUUCGUGUGAGGUGGUUUUCAUUAUCGAUAAGCGCGAGGCAGGCGUUGACUAAUCCGAGCGGAAUCUCCAUGAUCAAGGCCAUCGGAAGAUCAGGAUUUUGGCAUUUCGAACUUCUUUUCCCAGUACAAGAGGAAGAUAUUGAACGAAGAAGAUCAGCUUCUCGAUCACAAAAAUAUUAGAAGCGAGAGCCCACAAACAAUAGGCACGAGGGCUCUGGCCCGUCGCAACACCUUAGGCUUUGCCCCACUUUGCUUUCUAUAACU
Molecule: long non-coding RNA, 394 nt
Organism: Populus euphratica (Euphrates poplar)
Lineage: Eukaryota; Viridiplantae; Streptophyta; Magnoliopsida; Malpighiales; Salicaceae
Exons: 2
Source: RefSeq, a predicted model, not a curated record